Molecule: non-coding RNA, 430 nt
Organism: Phodopus roborovskii (desert hamster)
Lineage: Eukaryota; Metazoa; Chordata; Mammalia; Rodentia; Cricetidae
Source: the annotation of a RefSeq genome assembly
AUGGCCAAGAUCCUGAAAGCAUCAUUUGUAGUCCUAACCUUUCAAGCAGCCUGGGUGAGUGGCCAGCAGGAGGAGGGACGUGACCAGCAGCAAGUGAGACAAAGUCCACAAUCUCUAACAGUCUGGGAAGGACAGACUUCAGUUCUGAACUGCACUUACGACAAUAGUGCAUUUGACUACUUCCCAUGGUACCAGCAGUUCCCUGGAGAAGGCCCUGCACUCCUGAUAGCCAUACGUUCAGUGUCAAAUAAAAAGAAAGAUGGAAGAUUCACGGUCUUCUUCAGUGAAAGGGAUAAACAGCUCUCCUUGCACAUCACAGAUUCUCAGCCUGGAGACUCAGCCACCUACAUCUGUGCAGCAAGUGCACAGUGCUCUCCAGGCACCUGAAGCCCACACACAAACCUGCAGCUGAGGAUCCAGGAAACCCUGC